GCGCCCGUAGCUCAACGGAUAGAGUGGUGGACUUCGAAUCCAUUGGUUGCAGGUUCGAAUCCUGCCGGGCGCGCCA
Molecule: transfer RNA, 76 nt
Filed under: Phycisphaerae bacterium
Lineage: Bacteria; Pseudomonadati; Planctomycetota; Phycisphaerae
Description: tRNA-Arg
Rfam family: tRNA
About the family: Transfer RNA (tRNA) molecules are approximately 80 nucleotides in length. Their secondary structure includes four short double-helical elements and three loops (D, anti-codon, and T loops).
Source: RNAcentral